RNAcentral lists this long non-coding RNA (1309 nucleotides) under Oryctolagus cuniculus (rabbit). Its description in RNAcentral is "lncRNA (ENSOCUG00000031011.1)". Lineage: Eukaryota; Metazoa; Chordata; Mammalia; Lagomorpha; Leporidae. The record is from RNAcentral.
AUGGCUGGAGCUGUGCCGAUCCAAAGCCAGAAGCCAGGAGCUUCUUCCGGGUCUCCCACGUGGGUGCAGGGGCCCAAGGACUUGGGCCAUCUUCCACUGCUUUCCCAGGCCAUAGCAGAGAGCUGGAUCAGAAGUGGAGCAGCCGGCUCUCAAGCCAGCGCCCAUAUGGGAUGCCGGUGCUGCAGGAGGUUGCUUGACCCACCACAACACAGCGCCGCCCCAGUGGUCAGAGUUUUAAAGCAGCUGACUCCAUUUGUUCAACAUAGGGUGAGAUGGCUCCUGGUUUCAGCCUGGAGUGGAUUAUACUAAACUGCUAAGAUUCGGAGAUCAUUCCUGACAUAAACGCUGGCAGAAAACCUGAAAUUUUGCUGUCUUUCAUUUAAGAGUGGAGGCCACCUUGCUGUUGACUAAUCCCUCAAUUACACCCCAAGUGUCCCUACAGAUUUAAGAAACUGAAAUGAGGACUUUGUUCUUUGUCUUGUCAGCACAUGUGUAAAUACUUCAUCCCACUAAGAUCUUUCAAAAAGGUGUUCAGUAUGAUGAAAGAAAUCUCACUAAUAGGACACAUGCAUAUGCCCCCGAUGUUGGACAAGUCACUCCACCAUACGCAAGUUAGCCCAGUGUUCCAUACAAAAUUGCUUCAUGCCAAACUUGAUUUAGCCCUCAUUUCUUGAAUGUGCAAGUAACUGCGCAUGAUGGACUCUGAAAAUACGAUGUGCAGCCUUUCCUGACCUUUGCAGACUGAAGUGAUCAUGAAAACACCAAGAGCAUCAGAACUUCUGCUUAGAAAUAAUGUAAGGCUGAACUGUAGGAAAGACGAGACAAAAAGAAAAAGAAAAGCCAGUGACACUCAUUCUAUCUUUAUUGAAAAUUGUGACAUUGUGUUCCCUGUAGAUAUUUUUGCAUUAAUUUUGAUGGAUCAAAAUGCUGCAUUAAAUAUUAGUUGUCUUGACGGCUGGGUUUUUGGUGCCCCCUGAUGUUCCACAGCCAAGGCAAGCGAGGCAGCCUGUCUCAGCAGUGAGCUGGAUGUGGCCGUCUAGAUGUGGCCGUCCAGAUCCUUCUCCCUCCGGAAGCUCCACUGAGAUCACGUAAAAGGAUACUGCGAAGCAAGAAGUGGAGAAGAUGCUGGCAAGUGGAAGGGGGAUGGGAAAUUGGUACCUGACUUGCAGAUGGAGAAGCCUCCCCAGGCGGCAGAGACAACUUGAAAACCUACCUUUUUUUUUUUUUUUAAGAUUUAGUUUAUUUAUUUGAAAAACAGAGUUACAGAGAGAGGUAGAGACAGAGAGAGAGAGAGGCCUUCCAUUCAUUG